Molecule: ribosomal RNA, 370 nt
Filed under: uncultured organism
Description: partial 16S ribosomal RNA
Rfam family: Bacterial small subunit ribosomal RNA
Source: RNAcentral
GUAGGUGGCAAGCGUUGUCCGGAAUUAUUGGGCGUAAAGCGCGCGCAGGCGGUUCUUUAAGUCUGAUGUGAAAGCCCACGGCUCAACCGUGGAGGGUCAUUGGAAACUGGAGAACUUGAGUACAGAAGAGGAAAGCGGAAUUCCACGUGUAGCGGUGAAAUGCGUAGAGAUGUGGAGGAACACCAGUGGCGAAGGCGGCUUUCUGGUCUGUAACUGACGCUGAGGCGCGAAAGCGUGGGGAGCAAACAGGAUUAGAUACCCUGGUAGUCCACGCCGUAAACGGUGAGUGCUAAGUGUAGGGGGUUUCCGCCCCCUUAGUGCUGCAGCUAACGCAUUAAGCACUCCGCCUGGGGAUACGGCCGCAAGGCUG